This 4586-nucleotide long non-coding RNA is filed under the name Sus scrofa (pig). RNAcentral describes it as "lncRNA (ENSSSCG00050067333.1)". The record is from RNAcentral. Lineage: Eukaryota; Metazoa; Chordata; Mammalia; Artiodactyla; Suidae.
GCCAUGCCAGGCUUUGAGCAGAGUAACUUCAUUAGAGGUGACAGGCUCUCCAAAACGGGCAGGCACAAUAACUGCUGGUGUGGGCGUGUGGGUGCCCUGUAGUGGGGGGAUGACAAGAUGGACAGGCUUUCGUGGCAGGAAACCAUUUAGAGGUGGUCCUGAAGGACUGAGGCAAGACCUGACCUGACGGCCUCCCACCUUCCCUCUCUGAUGGGUCGCAUCCCCCCCUCUCAGAGCUCACCUGCAGAUUCCCCUCACCCACCGCCGGAACUGCUUGGAACCCUGGACCAGUCUCGACAGGGAACAGAGGAGGAACACACAUACAGACCACAACCACAAGAGGACACCAUGUACUGGGCCACUGCAAGGCCAAGUACACACAAGCAGGGCCAGUGUGAACAGUGUGCUACACCUUGUGGCUGUCUUAUGAAGGAGUCGGAAAAAGGAAAAUUCCUGAGGGCUCUCCGUGACAAUACGAGGCUACUUAUUCACUCUGUUUCUCCAACCUGCUUCACCAAAACACCAGGAAAAUAAAUCCUGAAAACAAAGUACUGUCAUUCAUUCAUCCAUGCAAAAAUAUGAAGUACUUGAAAUUAAGGAGCAGGGACAUACACAGAGGACAGUAUUGGUGAAAAUGUGCUUAGAUUCGCAGAGCCAAGCCCAAGCUGUGGACCCUGACUCAGCACCAACACCACACUUCAGUGUUGGCUGUAGAGAGAAGGGCUUCCUGCAGAGUGGAGAGGAAUAACCAUGGAAAUGAUUCAAGACACCAGAGGGGAGGAAACAUACAACCAGAGGCUGGAGAAUACUGACAAGAUGAAAACUAUGAUUCCACAAAACAAGAAUUAAAGGAGAAAGAAAGAAGGAAGGAAGAAAGGGAGGGAGGGAGGAAGGAAAGUAAUAGGAGAACAAAAGGAGUUUAAAAGGGAGCUGAUGGUGCUUGGGGAAAACUUUCUUGCUCAUUAAUCCAACCCAACCCUUUUGUCUUCCUGCUGGUUUGGCCAUUAAUGAGGUAAAUGAAACUUCAUGUAAAAUGUGCUUCCCAUCUGCUUGUGUGAGAAUUAGGUUUUCAACCCAAGUUCCUCCAUAACAGUAUUCAGUGUUAUGAGAAACUACAUAAAUAUCUACAAAAUGUCUGUCAAUGUCUACCAGGCCUGCAAAACCCUCCAAGUGAGAAAAGAAUGACGGGUGAAUGUUAUACAGAACCAAACAUCAUGUAUGAUAAAGACAUUUUCAAAUACACCAGGCAUCAGGGAAUACAGAAUUCACAAGCUGAUCCUGGAAAAACCAUUGGAAGAUGAACUCUAAUCAAUGAAACGGAGUUUCUAUAAAUUCAUGGAAGAGACAAAAACAAAUUUGCUCUCACAUUCUGAUAUUUAAUUCACUCACCCUUCUUCCUACAGUCAUAAUUUCAUACCAGAAGCUGAGAGAGGGAUGGCAUUUUCUACAUGCAAGUCCUCCUCUAAAUCCAGCAGAUGCUAAUAUACUAAUGUGCACUAGGCAACUCCAACAGAAGCACAUGGAAUGCAGUCUUUCCCAAACUUCUUUGAUUCAAGAACCCUUUUCUUUUGGAGUCUUAUUGGACAGGUUUCUGCAGAAUAUACCUAAGCAUUUCAGGAUAGCAUGUUCAUGCCACAAACCAAUGCCUACUGUAUGAACAAUACUCCAAAAUACUGACCUUAUAUGAUAUGAUAGAUGAGUAAUCAGUUUCUCUGUUCAUUCAUUCUCCAUUCGUCUUUUACAGAGGACCUAUUCUAUUUAGGCAUCAUGCUAGGUAAUAGUGGCUCAAAGCAGAGUAAAGCACAGGCAAGCCUACAGCAAGUUCAUGGGAAAGUCAUCAAUUAAUGAUUACAGAAUGUUGGAGUUCCCGAUAUGGCUCAGUGGUAACAAAUCCUGCUGGUAUCCAUGAGGACUCAGGUUCCAUCCCUGGCCUUGAUCAGUGGGUUAAGGAUCCGGCGUUGCUGUGAGCUGUGGUGUAGUUGCUGUGGCUGUGGUGAAGGCCAGCAGCUGCAGCUCCAAUUCAGCCCUCAGCUAGGGAACUUCCAUAUGCCUCGAGUGCAGCCCUAAAAAAGAAGCAAACAAACAAAAAAACAAUUGCAGAAUGUUGUUUGCUGUAGUAGUACAAUCUAAGAGUCUAGGAGCAAGAAUGAAAAUAGUAUAUUAUCUUCACAAGUCUACACCUAUUUCAAGGAGGGGGCUAAGAGUAGAAUAUGACACUGUCCCCGCCUGCCCUACUCAGAAGAAAUGUGUGUGGUAGGGUAAGUGUAGACAUGCCAGGAGUCACACCCGCCUGACUGUCAGUGCAUCUGGGUGUGGGUGACCAGGGAGCGUGAGAAUGAGAGUAAAAGGGAGAGAGUGCUCAAUGUGUAUGUUUGUGAUUCUCCAGGAGUGGAAUUCUCAGUCAGGCCAGACCAUAGCAAAAGCAGCCUCCUCAGCCCCCAGAUCUAUUGAGGUUUUCCCAGCCUGUCUCCCAGCAUUACCCAGUCAUUCAUUCUGGAGCAUCUCCUUGCCCUCUCAGGUUCCUGCCCCUCAUGGACCUCCCUGGCCACAGGGGCAGAGCCGGCUCCUGGCCUCCUCAUUACCAUGAUGAGCAGGGGCCUCUUCUCACUAAAACCACUGAUGAACCCCAACCAAAGUGUAUUCCUAGGUUCUUCGUUCUUAUUACACUGCUGUAUUUGACUUGUUUUAUUACAACUUAUUGUUCUAUCUACCCACCUUCAACCUAAGCUCCCUGAAGGUCUACAGCCAGAGAAAAUGUGAGCAACCCUGCUCAACCCCGGGCUCCCCUUACAAAUCCCUUACUCACAGUCCUUGGCUCUGAAUGGAACCUGGCAGUCUCUAUCCCCUGAUGGUUCUCCCACACAGAACCUGACCUGAGAUGCUAGGGGGCGGCCACUGUGCACAAAUGCCAUCACUUAGCUCUGGAGGCAGCAGUCAGGACCAGCGGCCACAGACAUUAUCUCCCCUGAGAGGGCAUUAGAACUGCUCCCAUAAGUAUGGCAGCUCAGGCAUCCCAGGCGCCAACAUGCCCCUGUGCUCAAUGGCAAUCCAGCUGGAACAGUCACUGAGGGACCCACACACCAUUUUAAUUUGUGGGGUCAAUAACCCUCAGACUGCAAUGCUGCGUCUCUGAUUUGGCCCUUUACUGCAAGUAGCUUUAAUGUUCUGCUUUAUUUUAUGUUACAUACCGGCAGAAUUCCCUAUAAAAAAGCACUUUAACACUGCAGUACUGUGCUCUUCAGAUGCAUUUUCCUAAAGAAGGAAAUACUGCUAACGAAUGCAUUUCUGUUUGUCCUGUAAAGCACCUUUUCUACGUUGGGUUUGUGAGAGGACUGGUUCUGGAUGGCUGACCUCUCAGUGGUGAUCCUGAGCAGAAAAUAUACUGUUAGAUAUUCCAAAGGUGCUCUCUGGGUAUAAUUAACCAAUUAAUUAUAAUUUAUUACUAAUUUUGUCCUUUCUUUCCCAACAUGUGUUUAAGUCUAUACAGUCCCCUCUAAAUAUUCCUUUAACUCUCACAGAACUUUUUUUUUCAUAUGUUUUUAAUUGUACUACUUUCAUCAUCAGUUCAAACUUAUUUUGACUACUUUUCCUUCGUCCCAAUAUUUAUUUAAAAAUACAUUUAAGUUUCAGAUAUAUAUGGCUUUUCCAGUUAUCAUUCUGUUACUAAUUUCUAGCAUAGCUACAUUUGGUUUAGAAAACAUACUGUUUAUGAUUUCAAGAUUUUGGAAUAAGUUGAAACUUGCUUUUGGUCCUGAGUACAGUCAUUUUUGGUGGGAGAGUUAUUUUGUGUCAUGAAAGCUUUAAAAAAAAAAAAGCAUAAUUCUACAGUAGUUGGGUGCAGUGUUUUACGUAUGUUCUCUGAUUAGUUGGGUAUAGCAUGUUCUUCUAUACUGAUUUUUUCUUUUUUUUUAUUUAUACAACAGAAAAUUAUUUUAAAAUUCUGAAGGGUAAAAGUCUGAUAUCAAGGUGUUGGCAGUAUUGGUUUCUUCUGAGGUCUCUCUCCUUGGCUUGUAGAUAGCUGCUUCUUCCUAUAGUCUUCCUGAUUUCUGCUUGUUCUAUUAUUUGCCAGAGAGGUUUAAACCUCUAAUUAUUAUUUUAUAUUUGCCUAUCUAUAAUUUUUUAUUUAUAUAUAUACGCUUAAUUUAUUUUGUAUAUAUGUUUUAUAUAUUUUAAAGUCUUAUUAUUAGGUGUAUGAAAAUUGAGAAUGGUCAUAUAUUUCCAGGUAAACUCUCUAGUAAUGCUUUUUGCCAGAAUUCUAUUUUGUCUAAAAGUAACAUACUACAUCAGCUUUCUUUUGGCCAGUGUUUGCAUCCUUCUUUAUACCAUUUUAAGCUUUAUGUUUUAUUUUUAGAUUUAUUUCUUGAUAUUCAUCAUUUACCUUGAGCAUCUGAUCCACUAAUCACUUAUUGUAAUUACUGCUAUCUUUCUUCAGUCUACUCUCUUUUCAUAUGCCUUUUAUUUGCACUAUCUUCUAUAUUUCUUUUUCUUUCCUAUCUUGGCAUAUGUGUUACCUCCUCUUAAUUUGGAAAUUACACACUUUCCUAUUCUUUUAGUAGUUAUAAUAAAAUCUACAAGACACAUUUACA